Long non-coding RNA from Daphnia pulex (common water flea), 797 nucleotides. RefSeq lists it as uncharacterized. The transcript is spliced from 4 exons. Lineage: Eukaryota; Metazoa; Arthropoda; Branchiopoda; Diplostraca; Daphniidae. The record is from RefSeq and is a predicted model, not a curated record.
AUGAAGUGACGAUGGAGCGAUUGUCUUUUGGUGCCAGCUGCUCCCAUUUGGUGUUUGUGCUCAACUUAUUCCGGAACAACUGGAGUCUUCCGGCGAAGACGGAACUACGUCUAUUGGAAUCCAGCUCGGCCGGCGAGCCGGCCUCGGGGGAGGAUGGAUCGGCGAAAGCGCAUCCCGUCAUAAACUUGGCAACGUUUUCCCUCCCUCCUUUUCCCCCUCUUAAAUGUCAGUUAAUGUCGUCUGUAAAGCACGUUGAAUUCUGGGCUUUCACUCUUUCUCUCUCGUGUUAAACUGAUUUGUUCGUGAUUGCCCAAAGUCCAUUUACUGGGUUUAAGGACCCGCGUGUGUGUGUGUGUCACUCUUCUUAUUCUAAGAGACGUCACUCGAGUUGUAUCAAGUGUGUGACGAUAUAUCCGGCAUUUGUGUGUCAUAGGACACUAAUUGGCCUAUUCACCUCUGGGUGUUGACCCUGUGUACGAGUGAUUCUCACCUUGUGUGUAGCCUGUCUUCACAGGAACCACCACUUCCAUUAUCAUAAGUACACCGUGUUCAUUUAUAUGAGCACAAGUCAAGUCGAACACAAUACAAGAGAUUUUGCUCUUACGAGCCAGCUUCAGGUUUUCAUUAAGUGGAAACAACGCUGGUGGAUCUACGAUGAAUAUUCUUUAUUUGAUCCCAUCCUAGAUCCAAAUAAAUUUAUACCUACGCUAUACUACCGCCCCCCAAUUGCGACCUGGAUCUAUUCAUCCCAUAUUUACCUACAUCUUACAUAAAGUGGAUGGGCCGUGUUAGUAGGG